Anopheles merus is the source of this 1131-nucleotide long non-coding RNA. RefSeq lists it as uncharacterized. The record is from RefSeq and is a predicted model, not a curated record. Lineage: Eukaryota; Metazoa; Arthropoda; Insecta; Diptera; Culicidae. The transcript has 2 exons.
GUGCUGCUGGGGCUGACGGUGGAGCAGUACUGAGUAUCAAAUUCGUACGAAACGAUCGCAGAAAGGACAUCACUGUGCUGGGAGGCCUUGAAAGGUGAAUCACAAAAUUGGCAAAAAUUGAAACACACACGAGCAAACGCUACAAAAUGCUGCACCGAAAGUGUAACACACGCACUAGAAGGAAGGCGAAGACUUGAGAUGUACGGGAGAGACUGCCAGGCAAUGCUGAAUGUUCGUCGCCUGAACUAGGUGGAGGUUUGAACUGCUGGAAGCAUAUCCAAAACGCUUCAACCCGCGUGGGCCGUUUGGAAGGACGGUUGGCGCAAAUGGAGAUCAAUGCAUUUUGCAAUGCAAAUUUCACGUGCGUCGGUUUAUUAUGAAGGGCAUUGUUCCCUGUGACGAGGUAAUCGGCAACUGAACUAGCUUGGUAACAACUCCUCCACAGAACAGGACAAGCACGCUCGUGCUUGAAACGAUUGCAAAACUCCCAAUGUGUGGUACCUCAUUACAAAUCUUUACACUAUGGAUCUUCGGUACGGUGUCGGCAAUAAGCACCCAAACACCCAAAAAGCCAAGCUUGAACGCACCACCAGCAACAGCACACGCCACACACUUAUGGGAUGCUGCAAACCUGUUUGCCUGUGUUGAUGAUGUUGAUCACCGCGCAGACGACGACCUGCGGCGACGACCUGUGCAACCGUGAACCGGCCGGUAUCUGCCGGCUAAUACUAGCGCCAAGUCACCAGCGCUAACUGGUUUGCUGCCACCUCGGCAGUAUGCUCCCAAAUCUCAAGACCUCUCCUUCGCUCACGGGACUGUAGUACACCUUCCACCAAGACGGGCAAUUGAAAUUGAUUUAUCACACACGCUGGAAGAGAUUUAUCACACACUCGCCAGAUGCAGCCGUUGGGUCGCGAAGCUUCUCCUGCAUUACAUGCCUGACGCUACUCUCUCUCACUCACACUGUCUCUGAGAAGGGUGUGAAAACAGAAUCGAUGUGCCGAUGGGCGCACACCACUUCCGGUAAUGCGGCCACCACGGAAAUGACGGUGGUGGUGAUGGGCGAUGGUGGAGGGAUUACGGCUCACGUGUGCCGUUACCGUGAGUGAGCCGGAUUUCACACGUUCGAAA